GACGAACGCUGGCGGCGUGCUUAACACAUGCAAGUCGAACGGAAAGGCCCUGCUUUUGUGGGGUGCUCGAGUGGCGAACGGGUGAGUAACACGUGAGUAACCUGCCCUUGACUUUGGGAUAACUUCAGGAAACUGGGGCUAAUACCGGAUAGGAGCUCCUGCUGCAUGGUGGGGGUUGGAAAGUUUCGGCGGUUGGGGAUGGACUCGCGGCUUAUCAGCUUGUUGGUGGGGUAGUGGCUUACCAAGGCUUUGACGGGUAGCCGGCCUGAGAGGGUGACCGGCCACAUUGGGACUGAGAUACGGCCCAGACUCCUACGGGAGGCAGCAGUGGGGAAUAUUGCACAAUGGGCGGGAGCCUGAUGCAACAACGCCGCGUGCGGGAUGACGGCCUUCGGGUUGUAAACCGCUUUCGCCUGUGACGAAGCGUGAGUGACGGUAAUGGGUAAAGAAGCACCGGCUAACUACGUG
RNAcentral lists this ribosomal RNA (468 nucleotides) under uncultured bacterium. RNAcentral's name for it is "partial 16S ribosomal RNA". It matches the Rfam family "Bacterial small subunit ribosomal RNA", at positions 28 to 507 of the family's 1533-position model. The record is from RNAcentral.